UGAUUCGGCUUGAUAUCCCCUUCCCAUGGUUUGGCCGUCGUUCCCUAUUCCCGGCGGCAAACGGCGGCCGUGAGUUUUCCAGCGAUGCGCAGCCACUGCUGCAGCCUGCAGGCAUGUCUCCAGUGGCGCACUGGCGCCUCCCCCUUCCCCUCGUUCCUCCGCCCGCUCCCUCCUCCUCCUCCUCCCGGCAGACCUCGUCGAUCCCGGAAUCCACCCUUGGCUUCGGAGCCCGGCCGGCCGGCGGACUUGCUCUGCUUGCAAUCUCCAGUUGCGGCGCGCUGUUCUUAUUCCCGGAGCUGCCGUCGGCCACGUGUUGGUGCUAGCUAGCCACUAGGACGGCGGCGGCCGCGGCGGCAUGGGUAGCCUCUGUGCUCCAUGCCAUGUCAGUGAGCUCUGAAUCCAACACGCACGGGAUCGAGUUGUGCGGAGUCAUUGAAUGUCUCAAUCGGUUUGUGACACUACUGGUUUUCAGAUAAAAACCAUAUGCAGACAGGGCAUUUUCUGCUCGAAGAAUCCAUGCGCGCGUUUUGAACUGAUACGUACUUGCUUUCUGUACCACACUCCAAGGAUCUCGAUGCUUUUCCUUCUCAAAGGCGAUGAUUGGCAGUCAGUGUGCAAACUACGCAGGAUCUAGAUGGUUAGAUAAAUGCACGAUGGAUUGCUCACGGAGAACCCCAUAUGAAAGAUUCAGAACUAGGAAGAGAAACUAGAUGAUUAUGUCCA
Long non-coding RNA from Panicum virgatum (switchgrass), 723 nucleotides. RefSeq lists it as uncharacterized. NCBI's taxonomy places the organism in Eukaryota, Viridiplantae, Streptophyta, Magnoliopsida, Poales, Poaceae. The record is from RefSeq and is a predicted model, not a curated record. The transcript has 2 exons.